UUUUCCUGGAUUAAUAGUCUUCAAAAUAAUCCAGGUGAAAAAGAACUCUGUGCUAUUUUACUGAACUUUGUAGUCAGGAUAUAAAGUAGGAUUUAAUUAUUUCACCCAGGAGCUGGAGCUGGUGACCAACAAAUGUCUGAUCUUGGCUCUGAAUAAGUGAGCAAAACUGUGCUCCAGGGAGAUGCAUGGCUUGAAUUGUGGAAGUAGAGAUCACACUUGAGCUUUGGGGAUAAACUGGCAAGACUCACAGGUCCUAGAUACAAAGCCACUGGGUGAGAGGAGUGCAAAAGCAAGUCAGUGUCGUAUGUCAGCCUCCCUGGAGGAGUUUCUAAGUGAUGCAGUAAGCACUGAACUCAGUCUGGAUACUUUAAAUGAAAAAAAUGUGUCAGAACAAGAGCAGAAAAUAAUCCUCAAUAAGGUUCAGAAACUGAUGUGAAAAUGAAAUUGACAUAUGGAAAGUGGUUGGAGGCCCUAACUGAGCUGUGUGUAGCCUGUUUAAGCAUCUUUCAAGUUUACAGAAGAUUUCUGAUAGCUCCACUGUUUGACCAGGCUGUAAUCUUUUGGUGGUCCUUCCUUUCAAGUGUGGAUUCCUCUUUACCACCCAGAAAUGGCUCUGCUUUGAAUUCUGAGCUGUCAGACACAAAAAAAAAAAAAAAGAAAAAAAAAAGAAAAAAAAAAAGGAAAGAACAGAAAUGGAAGAGACAUGAAACUCCACACAGAAGAACUGACUGGAAUCAGCAGUUGUUUUUACUGCAUGAAAAAAGGUGUCAAAUGAAGAGAAGCAAAGUGUGGGAAUGGGCACAUCCUUCAGAAGUGCUUGAGGUAUGCCAGGCACAGUAAUUUCUGAUACCUCUGUACAUGCCUUGAUUUCUGUCAUGUUGUCCUGAAAUUGAUCUGGGAUGCUUCUCAUAGGACUUAACCUGCCAAGAAUCCCUGACUAAGUUUAAUAUGCUCUAUGCCACUUGUCAGCAGACAGGUGUGAAGAGUUUAGUGUUGUAAUUAAUACUGCAAGGAGAGAAGAAAACUGUAAUUCUGCAGAUAUGUGGAAAACUAGAAACAUUUCACAGUCAGUGGAUCCUGAGCUAAAAGUUAACACCAGUCAUUUCAGAGAUGGAGGUGCAAGAAACACAUCAGAGGCAGGUGCUAAGAGGACAAGCUUUGCUGUAGAAUGAUUGGAGGCUCCCCUCUGAAAAGCUCCUCCUGCGUCAUAAGAAAUGUGUGAAAUGUAUGGAAGGUCAGUGUUUGAAGACACAUACAGAGAGCACCAUAAUUAUCUGAAGGUGGUUCAAGGAUGUUUUACCUGCUCCUAAGAAUUGCCCAAUGGCUCUGACCUCCCACUGGGAAAUCUGGCUACAAACCAAAGAGGAGAGGGAUGCCACUGUGCUGGCACACAGUACCUUUGCAUGAGGGCACUCUCCUGAAGUGACAACAGAGGCUGUUUUGUAGAGACUUUAAGAUGGCUCUUGAAGAAUUAAACAUGCUCAUAAGAAAGUGCUGCUUGUAGCUGGAACUUCGAUGUGGACCAUCUUUGAUCUGAAUAAAAUCACACUUAGGAACUGUUAGUCUCAGUAUGACUGGAAUGUGGAUUUAUCGUUUAUAUUUAUCCUAAGAAGAGGCAUGACAGAAGGAAGACGUGUUUGGAUUCAGAAAUAGAGCCCUCUAAUGAGAUGGAAAGGUGUGCUCUACUUUUUAAGCCUGUUUGCUUGAGCACUGAAUAUUUAUCUCGAGGAAAUCAUUGACUAAUUGGGAAAACUUCCAAAAUAUCUUGCAAGGUCUCAGAUGUUUGACAUGUUCAAAAUACUUCUAGCAGAAAUGGAUUAUUAGGUAGAAUGCAAAGUCAGAAGUGUCUGACAUUACUGAGUGAAGAUCUCAAAGCAGGUUCCAUGCAUGUACCUUUUCCCCGUGCUAUAUGGAAAUGCUGUCACAAAAAUCAGGUGAUCUUUUCUAAAAAUGGACAAGUCUUCUCACUGACACUGGCUGGAAUACUGAGUCUCUUCCAUAACAGUGAGCCUGAUCUCCUGGUUUUGGCUUUGGUUCUUCAGUGUCCCGAGGCUUUGCAUGGUUUUCAGCUGAGUGCUGCAGCAGCUCUCAGCAGAAGUGUGACCCCAUGUGAAACUGCCUUGGAUUGACUGCACUGUGUGAUGCACUGGGAGCAGAGCAAAGCAUCAAGGUCCUUUUAUUGAAGGAAUUCUGGUUUCCAAUAAGAUCAAACUACACCUUUAUUCUGACCUCAGUACAGUUUUUCCCAGGUGGCAAGAUGCUGAGCAAACGGCUGCUGCCUUGAAGAGGAUGCUUUUCAACUCUUUGGUGCCUGCCACUUCUCUCUCUUGUAUUUGAAAACUUGUAGGAUGGGUCCUGAUACACUGUGUAAAAGGGGGUUUAGGAGGCAGCUGAGUUCUCCAAAGAGCUGUAGCAGAUCCUGAAACAGCCAGGAUUUCCAGUCCACUGAACCACAGAACAUAGGAGGGCUCCACUCUGAACGUGUGGCAUGAAGAGGUGGAUUAUCAAUCUGUUAUUAAUAUACCUGCUACAGUUUGGAGUCCAGAAUUUUCAGAAUCUCAGUCAAAAUUGAUUCUUGAAUUGAUGUGGGAACCACUCCGAGUCAUGCCAGAAUAGGAUGAGGAUGAAAACAUGGAAAACUUUCCUUGUGGAAACAUGAUGUUAGACCAAAGACAAGGUUACCUGAGGGAAGAAGGGGUUUACUGACAUGCAUGAAGUCCAUGAAAGAGCUAUUCACAGCAGAGGAAGGUCUGUAAUGCCUCUACAAAGUAAAGUCCUGUAGCUUUGGCUGUUACUUGAUCCUGAGAAAUGUACAGAAUCCAUCGUCUUCCUGUUUUUAAUUAAAUUUUUUCAUAAUGCAAGUGGGAUCUUAUCCAAACACUGGAGAUCUGAAAUCUUGAGUACAAGCUUCCACUUCUUGUCCUGGACUAGAUUAAAGCUUUUCUGAGGGACAAUUCCCUUCCCUGAAAAAGAAAUCUCUGAACAUCAACCUCACUGUUUUUCCAGGGAAAACAAAACACGCUUUCUUUGAGUUUUGCAAUUGUCAUAAAAGCACGUGACAGUAGUGUCCCAAAAUGAACAUGUGAUUGGUUUAACAGCAUGUCCUGCAACACAAUCUGGCCUGCAACAGCAGAAACUGAAACUGGAGAAGGGCAUUUCAUUUCCGGCAGACAAAAGUGGUGAUUUCCAAAACUUCCUGAGUUCCUGUGCCUUGAUGCUGUAACAUUUUGUUGAUUUGACUGUUAUGAUUUGCAGUAGUAAAAUAGGGCAGACAUUCUGUUUCCCAAAUACUUACACUUUUUACUUCUGUGGCUGAAUUUGUACUCAGGGGAAUGCCUACAGAGCUUUGUUUAAGCUUCUGCUUGGGAAGAGAAUUACAGGGAGUGAGCAGCCAACUUGUUUCCUCUUCAAGAUAUGCUGAAACAAAAGAAGUACCUGUUGGACUGCCCCUCUUCUUUUUCCUGGUCAAACUGGACAACAGUAGAGGCAAGUGCACAAUGUCAAGUAACAUGCUAAGUCCCCUACACAUCACAAUGCAGAUUUCCCCUUAUUUUAGGGUUUGUGUCACAAAUCGUGAGCUGGAUGGUGAUUUUUAUUAAGUGCUCAGACAUUAUUGCUGACUUCCUCUGAUUUCCUCUGACAGCUCUGUGACUAUAAGCUCCACUGGUCUCCUUAUUCAGACACAUACAUUUACCUGUCAUUGGGGCACAGCUUACCAGUAUUGCAAAUUUUGACUUAUUAAAGUUCAUGUUGCCACAGAAACACUUUUAUUUUCAAAAUUAUUUAUAAUUCCUUUGGGGCAGCUGAUUUUCUGUAUUUUUCAUCAUGUCUCCUAUUUCAUUUUUAAAUGAAUUUCAUGGCUAGGUGCAGUACCCUACUGCGCACAAUUAUUGCACCAAUAUAAAAUCUAACCAUUGCAAAAUCAUUUCCA
Molecule: long non-coding RNA, 3931 nt
Organism: Passer domesticus (house sparrow)
Lineage: Eukaryota; Metazoa; Chordata; Aves; Passeriformes; Passeridae
Exons: 24
Source: RefSeq, a predicted model, not a curated record